Molecule: transfer RNA, 83 nt
Filed under: Betaproteobacteria bacterium
Lineage: Bacteria; Pseudomonadati; Pseudomonadota; Betaproteobacteria
Also listed under: 1 other name
Description: tRNA-Leu
Rfam family: tRNA
About the family: Transfer RNA (tRNA) molecules are approximately 80 nucleotides in length. Their secondary structure includes four short double-helical elements and three loops (D, anti-codon, and T loops). Further hydrogen bonds mediate the characteristic L-shaped molecular structure. tRNAs have two regions of fundamental functional importance: the anti-codon, which is responsible for specific mRNA codon recognition, and the 3' end, to which the tRNAs corresponding amino acid is attached (by aminoacyl-tRNA synthetases). tRNAs cope with the degeneracy of the genetic code in two manners: having more than one tRNA (with a specific anti-codon) for a particular amino acid; and 'wobble' base-pairing, i.e. permitting non-standard base-pairing at the 3rd anti-codon position.
Source: RNAcentral
GCCCGGGUGGCGGAACUGGUAGACGCAGCAGACUUAAAAUCUGCCGGCCCAAAGCCGUGCCGGUUCGAUUCCGGCCCUGGGCA